Molecule: ribosomal RNA, 449 nt
Filed under: uncultured bacterium
Lineage: Bacteria
Description: partial 16S ribosomal RNA
Rfam family: Bacterial small subunit ribosomal RNA
Source: RNAcentral
AACGAACGCUGGCGGCAGGCCUAACACAUGCAAGUCGAACGCCCUAGCAAUAGGGAGUGGCAGACGGGUGAGUAACACGUGGGAACCUUCCCUAUAGUACGGAAUAGCCCAGGGAAACUUGGAGUAAUACCGUAUACGCCCGAGAGGGGAAAGAUUUAUCGCUAUAGGAUGGGCCCGCGUCGGAUUAGCUAGUUGGUGAGGUAACGGCUCACCAAGGCAACGAUCCGUGGCUGGUUUGAGAGAAUGACCAGCCACACUGGGACUGAGACACGGCCCAGACUCCGACGGGAGGCAGCAGUGGGGAAUCUUGGACAAUGGGCGCAAGCCUGAUCCAGCCAGGCCGCGUGAGUGAUGAAGGCCCUAGGGUUGUAAAGCUCUUUUGUCGGGGACGAUAAUGACGGUACCCGAAGAAUAAGCUCCGGCUAACUUCGUGCCAGCCGCCGCCGUAA